UACGUAGGGUGCAAGCGUUAAUCGGAAUUACUGGGCGUAAAGCGUGCGCAGGCGGUUUUGUAAGUCUGUCGUGAAAUCCCCGGGCUCAACCUGGGAAUUGCGAUGGAGACUGCAAGGCUAGAAUCUGGCAGAGGGGGGUAGAAUUCCACGUGUGAGCAGUGAAAUGCGUAGAGAUGUGGAGGAACACCGAUGGCGAAGGCAGCCCCCUGGGUCAAGAUUGACGCUCAUGCACGAAAGCGUGGGGAGCAAACAGGAUUAGAA
Molecule: ribosomal RNA, 261 nt
Filed under: uncultured bacterium
Lineage: Bacteria
Description: partial 16S ribosomal RNA
Rfam family: Bacterial small subunit ribosomal RNA
Source: RNAcentral